ACCCAAAAACUCCACCAACAAUAACGGUGCUUGGAGAGACCAAUAUCACAAUUCCUCUCUAUCUAUACGCGGCCGCCUCCCCCCUUCUUCCCGACCUCCUCCUAUUAUCAAUUAAUCAGUGCUGACUAUCCAGGCAAAAAUAAACUGAAUUUUGUUUUACCCACGCUUCAAAUAAAAUAACAUUCGGAAAAAUCUUUAAAUAUUUUCAUUUCUUACACCAGACAUAAGUAUCAAAAUUGACCCAACAAUUACGUGAAAUAUAGUACGCAAUCAUUUUUUGCACCAAAGAAUCUUCAUUGCUAUAUGACGCAAGCUAAUUUAUAAGUUAGUGAUACAAACACCUUGAAAACAGGAAAAGGAAAAACUUAUCCAAAUCAUUUACAAGACUUACAGCACCAACAACACCAGACAGGGCAAGCAAGAACAGAACAAAAAAUUGAACUUCAGAUCUGCCUCAAAUCGAAAGAGAACGCAAAAAAUAACCAAAAAAUAGUAACAACAACAAAUAAAUCAGAUGUUAAACUUGAGAUCCAAAUUAUACCUUUGUAGUCAUCUUUAUCAGA
RNAcentral lists this unclassified non-coding RNA (563 nucleotides) under Hevea brasiliensis (rubber tree). Lineage: Eukaryota; Viridiplantae; Streptophyta; Magnoliopsida; Malpighiales; Euphorbiaceae. The record is from RNAcentral.